Long non-coding RNA from Lagopus muta (rock ptarmigan), 1811 nucleotides. RefSeq lists it as uncharacterized. The transcript is spliced from 3 exons. NCBI's taxonomy places the organism in Eukaryota, Metazoa, Chordata, Aves, Galliformes, Phasianidae. The record is from RefSeq and is a predicted model, not a curated record.
UCUUCUACCUCCUGCACUCCCCCAGAGUGGAAGAGAUCUUUUUUGUGUCACUGGCUGGCUUUGCUUUUUGGAAGAUGUCACACGGAAUGCAUUGUCAGCCAUGGGGUAGGAGAAAUAAGUGUGCAGUUGCUGAAAGGUCUCCUAGCAGAAGACACAUCUGGAACAUGAAGCAUGGUUUGGAAAGACUGGAUAAACCUCGAGACAUUGAUUGCCAAGCACAGAAGUUUUUCAUCCAUCACCAUACAGCUACUGGAAGAAUUUCCCCCUCCUACUUUAGGAGUGAUUUUGAGCAUUGACAUAUGACUUAUAAAAUGUUUUGGAUAAGAGCAAAAUAUGUCCUGCUAUUCUUCGGAUGCUUCAAAUGUUUCCACAGAUAUUAUGUAUUAAUUUGCAUACAGAGAAAGGCCAGAAAUAAUUUUCAUGUUGGAAUUAGUGUGCUUGUGUGCAUGCCCAUUUAAUUCAAAAUAUUAUAUUAAGCAAAACAGAAGCACUUUAAAGUUGAUUGUGGUAAUAUGUGACAAUUAAGGAAGGAAAUUUUUUAUCUUUCAUUGCUUCUGACAAGUGAUUUAAUGACAAAUUAUUUGCAUAACUUCUUCUUAGAUAUUGCAUUUUUCUUAAUCUAUGUUGUUAAAACUGCCAUGCUCUACAAUAACUUUGUUUCUUCACUUAAUGUAAUUACUAAAAAUUACCAAUUGAUCUGAUUGCUUAUGAUGGCUUUUAAGCAUAGACAAAUACAUUGUCUACAUCUGCAAAUAUUUCCUAGCUAUUUUCAGGGAUGUCUGCUGGUUAAGUAUUUACAAAUUGUUUUAAAGGACUAAGAAAUGGACAGGACAUAGUUCAUAAAACUGAAGUGUCAUUUGGAGUAUGGCACUGUACUUUGCUGAUGUUACUUCUCUGUGUCAACAAGAGUUGCUAUGAAUAAUGAUUUGGCUGGAGUCCUAUCCACAAUAGGAUAAACAUUAUAAAUAGAUACAGUGGUUUUUAAAGUAUCACUGUCUUUUUUUCUGCUUUAUUAUUAUUUUUUUUUCUGUUGAAAUAUAAGUAAUAUUCUUUACUGAGGCUCACAUCUCAAACUUUUUUAUUCUGUAAUUUUGUGAUGGACAGUGCUCUAGACUCCAUUGGGUAAAGAGUGUCACCACUCAAAGAUGUGUUAUCAGAAAUAUUAAUUUCAUCUUCCAACUAGUGAGAUGGAAUAAAAUGUAAUUAAACCAGGUCCUUUCUUGUACAACAGUGUGGAAACUCUCAUCUUCUUAGUCUUCAUAGUUUAGCUCUCCAUUUGCAGUCCCUUGGAGUGCGACCACUGCAGCAACCAGAGGGAGCUCUGCAGCCUGCUGGGGAAAUCUCUGUUCUUCAGAAAUUUGCUACCUCUGCUGUAUGGAGAUCUAUGCUCAGCACAGAGAAAUUACAGCUUCGGCUUUUGGCUUUUCUUCUACCAUCUAUCACAAGUUCUUGGGUGGUCCGGUUCAGUAAGUGCAUCCAUCUACCAAAUAACCAUUCUGGUAGAAACCAACUGCAAUGCUUGAAAAGAAUGUUCUCUUCCAAUGCAGACUGUUCAAAAAUCAGCAGCUUUAGUGUUUCCUCUGUUGCUUUUCUUCUGCUGGAAGAGCGUGUUGCAAUAAUAAAAGCUACAACAGAGGAUUUACACUAUACUCAUCUCUUGUACCUUAGCUGAGUUUUAGGAAGAUCCUGGGUCUUCGAUUGUGUUCACAGGCAUGGCUUUACUGGGGAGAGAUUAAGGAAAUGCCAUCACUCUAUGAGAACUUCCUAGAGCUGCUCAACCUCCCUCAUCACUGUGCAGAGAACUGCAGGGG